Molecule: ribosomal RNA, 1547 nt
Filed under: Klebsiella pneumoniae
Lineage: Bacteria; Pseudomonadati; Pseudomonadota; Gammaproteobacteria; Enterobacterales; Enterobacteriaceae
Description: bacterial SSU rRNA
Rfam family: Bacterial small subunit ribosomal RNA
Source: RNAcentral
AAAUUGAAGAGUUUGAUCAUGGCUCAGAUUGAACGCUGGCGGCAGGCCUAACACAUGCAAGUCGAGCGGUAGCACAGAGAGCUUGCUCUCGGGUGACGAGCGGCGGACGGGUGAGUAAUGUCUGGGAAACUGCCUGAUGGAGGGGGAUAACUACUGGAAACGGUAGCUAAUACCGCAUAACGUCGCAAGACCAAAGUGGGGACCUUCGGGCCUCAUGCCAUCAGAUGUGCCCAGAUGGGAUUAGCUAGUAGGUGGGGUAACGGCUCACCUAGGCGACGAUCCUAGCUGGUCUGAGAGGAUGACCAGCCACACUGGAACUGAGACACGGUCCAGACUCCUACGGGAGGCAGCAGUGGGGAAUAUUGCACAAUGGGCGCAAGCCUGAUGCAGCCAUGCCGCGUGUGUGAAGAAGGCCUUCGGGUUGUAAAGCACUUUCAGCGGGGAGGAAGGCGGUGAGGUUAAUAACCUCAUCGAUUGACGUUACCCGCAGAAGAAGCACCGGCUAACUCCGUGCCAGCAGCCGCGGUAAUACGGAGGGUGCAAGCGUUAAUCGGAAUUACUGGGCGUAAAGCGCACGCAGGCGGUCUGUCAAGUCGGAUGUGAAAUCCCCGGGCUCAACCUGGGAACUGCAUUCGAAACUGGCAGGCUAGAGUCUUGUAGAGGGGGGUAGAAUUCCAGGUGUAGCGGUGAAAUGCGUAGAGAUCUGGAGGAAUACCGGUGGCGAAGGCGGCCCCCUGGACAAAGACUGACGCUCAGGUGCGAAAGCGUGGGGAGCAAACAGGAUUAGAUACCCUGGUAGUCCACGCCGUAAACGAUGUCGAUUUGGAGGUUGUGCCCUUGAGGCGUGGCUUCCGGAGCUAACGCGUUAAAUCGACCGCCUGGGGAGUACGGCCGCAAGGUUAAAACUCAAAUGAAUUGACGGGGGCCCGCACAAGCGGUGGAGCAUGUGGUUUAAUUCGAUGCAACGCGAAGAACCUUACCUGGUCUUGACAUCCACAGAACUUUCCAGAGAUGGAUUGGUGCCUUCGGGAACUGUGAGACAGGUGCUGCAUGGCUGUCGUCAGCUCGUGUUGUGAAAUGUUGGGUUAAGUCCCGCAACGAGCGCAACCCUUAUCCUUUGUUGCCAGCGGUCCGGCCGGGAACUCAAAGGAGACUGCCAGUGAUAAACUGGAGGAAGGUGGGGAUGACGUCAAGUCAUCAUGGCCCUUACGACCAGGGCUACACACGUGCUACAAUGGCAUAUACAAAGAGAAGCGACCUCGCGAGAGCAAGCGGACCUCAUAAAGUAUGUCGUAGUCCGGAUUGGAGUCUGCAACUCGACUCCAUGAAGUCGGAAUCGCUAGUAAUCGUAGAUCAGAAUGCUACGGUGAAUACGUUCCCGGGCCUUGUACACACCGCCCGUCACACCAUGGGAGUGGGUUGCAAAAGAAGUAGGUAGCUUAACCUUCGGGAGGGCGCUUACCACUUUGUGAUUCAUGACUGGGGUGAAGUCGUAACAAGGUAACCGUAGGGAACCUGCGGUUGGAUCACCUCCUUACCUUAAAGAA